GAGUGAAACAAGAAAUUCCACACGCACACAUUGUGGAAUUAAUUAUUGGUGUUGGGUGGGUCGCUCAAGGAUCAAUAUACUGCUUUGCUAUGCUCGAUCUCUUUCGAUGUUUGCAACGGUAAUUUUUUCAACUUUCUUUCCACACAUAUUUGCAGCAUGUUGAUUCAGAUUAAGAUACCCAUUUUCUCAUUCUUCAUUGUUAACGCAACAUUCAAUCUUCUGCUUCAUAAAAACAAAACAAAAGAAACCUUAAUUGAGGAAAGUUGUUCUUUUUAUCACAUGACCCUUUUCUUUGUUUGGUAUUGGUAAUUGGUACCAAUGUUUUCAAAGAUUAACUUUUUUGUUUGCUAACGGUAAUUUUGCAACUUUCAUUCAAAUACCCAUUUGUUCAUUUUUUUUAUUUAGUCAAGAAUAUUCAAUUUUCUGCAUGAAAAAAUUACAACUUUACCCAUUUUUAUCAUUCAAGAACAUUCAAUCUUCUGCUUGAGAAAAACAAAACAACUUAAUUCUGCAAAUGGUAUUCUGUUCUGUCGCAAAAGAAUCUUAAAAGACAGUUUUUUUGUUUUUCUCAUAUUCAAUCUUCUGCUUGAGAAAAACAAAACAACUUAAUUCUGCAAAUGGUGUUCUGUUCUGUCGCAAAAGAAUCUUAAAAGACAGUUUUUUUGUUUUUCUCAUAUUCAAUCUUCUGCUUGAGAAAAACAAAACAACUUAAUUCUGCAAAUGGUGUUCUGUUCUGUCCCAAAAGAAUCUUAAAAGACAGUUUUUUUUUGUUUUUCUCAUUCUUGAUCAUUCAAGAAUAUUCAAUCUUCUGCUUGAGAAAAACAAAACAACUUAAUAGUGCAAACCAUGUUCUGUUCUGUCCCAAAAGAAUCUUAAAAGAGAGUGUUUUUGUUUUUCUCAUUCUUGAUCACUCAAGAAUAUUCAAUCUUCUGCUUGAGAAAAACAAAACAACUUAAUUGUGCAAACGGUGUUCUGUUCUGUCCCAAAAGAAUCUUAAAAGACAGUUUUUUUUUUGUUUUUCUCAUUCUUGAUCAUUCAAGAAUAUUCAAUCUUCUGCUUGAGAAAAACAAAACAACUUAAUUGUGCAAACCAUGUUCUGUUCUGUCCCAAAAGAAUCUUAAAAGACAGUUUUUUUGUUUUUCUCAUUCUUGAUCAUUCAAGAAUAUUCAAUCUUCUGCUUGAGAAAAACAAAACAACUUAAUUGUGCAAACCAUGUUCUGUUCUGUUCUGUCCCAAAAGAAUCUUAAAAGACAGUUUUUUUUGUUUUUCUCAUAUUCAAUCUUCUGCUUGAGAAAAACAAAACAACUUAAUUCUGCAAAUGGUGUUCUGUUCUGUCCCAAAAGAAUCUUAAAAGACAGUUUUUUUUUGUUUUUCUCAUUCUUGAUCAUUCAAGAAUAUUCAAUCUUCUGCUUGAGAAAAACAAAACAACUUAAUUGUGCAAACGGUGUUCUGUUCUGUCCCAAAAGAAUCUUAAAAGACAGUUUUUUGUUUGUCACGAUUAGCGAGUUUCACCUGUUUUUGCAAUUUUCAUUCUAACAUAUUUGCUCCAUCCGGUUUAUAAUCGAUACAUGUUGGGUUUCCAAUUUAAAAGGGUAGAAAAGACUAUGAAUGAUUGUGUGACGAAAUCUCUUUUCAUUAUCUGAAAAAGGGUGGAGUAUAUUGCCCUAGUAACCCUAAAUUUGACCAUUGGAAUCGAUGUUUGUAACGGAUGGAUCAUAGAUGCCUCAAUGACCAUAGGGUAAAAUGUUGGAUGAACUUAUUGUCCCUAGUCCCUGAAUGUGAAAGCUAGUUGUUGCCUUAAUUGUUACACAAGCAAUUGUCUCUAUUGGUGUAUGCUUUUCUAUUAAAAAAAUUAUGAAUUUUUAUGCAUAAUCAUGCAUGAUUGGAUUUAUAUUCUGCUUUGAUGACCCUUAGUCCCUAAAUUCCAUCUUGCAACUGCAAUUAGAAGUGAUUUUGCUUUAUCAACUUAAUGACCCUUGUCCCUAAUGUUUCAUAAGUUUUGUAACGGAUGGAUGCUUCAAUGACCCCUGAGGAAAAUGCAUUAUGAAUUCUUUAUUCAUAAUGAAAAAGUUGGAUGGUGGCUUUUCAAAGCAAAGCAAUUUUAAUAUGAAAUUUUAUUCAAAAUGUGGAUGAUGUCUGUUAUCUUUUUAUGACCCUAAUUGUGAAACUGUCACUCGUGGUAUGGUAUACAUGAACUCACUAACUCCAAAUUCCACAAUAAGAUGGAUAUACGUUGUUUCAUGAUUUUCGUAAGGGAUUGUCUUGGUGGCCAAAAAAUGCUGGAUGAUGCUUGAACGUGAAAGCUAGUUGUUGCCUUAAAAUGAAAAUUUAAUAUAAAAUUUCAUUCAUAAUAUAAGGCAUGAAUAUUAUCUAUUGUGCUUUCAUGACCCUAGUCCCUUAAUGCAAUUUUGCAACUACAAUAUGAUGAAUUGAUUUUUCAAUAAAAUUCAAUCUUCUGCUCGAGAAAUAGAAAACCUUUUAUUGUUGAACAUUGCGGUGUUCAGGUUCAGCGGUGAUUUGGAAACCGAAAUCUCAUGGAACUGUUAGUGGAGGACUGUAACUGAAAUUGAAAGCAUGCUGGUGGGUAAAGGGAAGGUUGAUGGUUCAGGUGUUGGUGUUGAUGUGGCUUCGUGCAAGAAUCAGAGCCACUUUUUAUCCCAAAUUUGAAAAGGAAAAGUCAGAUCAAGAGGUAUAUGAUUCUCGACUCAGUUUUUUAUGUUUUGAUUUCAUGAGUGGAGGUUAUAUUGUUGAAUUUUGUCAUGUAUCAAUUUUCCUUGUUUAUAUAUAUUUUUCUUCGUAAUAAUUGUUUGAGUCUCAGCCUCAUGGGAUAUUAGAUAAUCAAACACAAUUUUUUGAACGACAUUCAAAAGAAACUGAUAUGCUAUGUGCCGAGACCCUGAGGUUGAAAGAUAAACAUUUGCUGCAAUUUUCAUCGAAAUAUCCUUUUUUUCAUUGUUUUAUUUAGUCAAGAACAUUCAAUCUUCUGCUUGAAAAAAGUACAACUUUACCCAUUGUUCUCAUUCUUGAUCAUUCAAGAACAUUCAAUCUUCUCCUUGAAAAAAAGAAAACAACCUUAAUUGUGCAAAAGGUGUUCUGUUCUGUCCCAAAAGAACCUUAAAAGACAGUUUUUUGUUUGUCACGAUAAGCGAGUUUCACCCGUUUUUGCAAUUUUCAUUCUAACAUAUUUGCCCCUUCCGGUUUAUAAUCGAUACAUGUUGGGAACGAUGGUGGAUUUCCAAUUUAAAAGGGUAUAAAAACCCUAUAAGACCGUGAAUCAUUAUGUGAUGGAAUCUCUUUUCAUUAUCUGAAAAAGGGGUGGAGUAUAUUGCCUUAGUAACCCUAAAUUUGACCGUUGGAGUUGAUGUUUGUAACGGAUGGAUCAUAGAUGCCUCAAUUACGACGAUAGAGUAAAAUGUUGGAUGUACUUAAUGUCCCUAGUUCCUGAAUGUGAAAGCUAAUUGUUGCCUUAAUUGCUACACAAGCAAUGGUCUCUAUUGGUGUCUGCUUUUCUAUUGAAAAAAAUUAUGAAUUUUUAUUCAUAAUAAUGCAUGAUAGAUAUAUAUUCUGCUUUGAUGACCCUUAGUCCCUAAAUUCAAUUUUGCAACUGCAAUUAGAAGUGAUUUUGCAUUAUUAACUUAACGACCCUUGUUCCUAAUGUUUAAUAAGUUUUGUAACGGACGGAUGCUUCCAUGACCUUUGAGGAAAAUGCAUUAUGAAUUCUUUAUUAAUAUGAAAAUUUAUUCAAAAUGUGGAUGGUGUCAAUUGUCUUUUUAUGACCCUAAUUGUGAAACUGUCACUAGUGGUAUGGUAUACAUGAACUCACUAACUCCAAAUUCGACAAUAAGAUGGAUAUACUUUGUUCCAUGAUUUUUGUAAGGGAUUGUCUUGGUGGCCCAAAACGGUGGAUGAUGCCUUAAUGUGAAAGCUAGUUGUUGCCUUAAAUGCAAUUUUUAUAUAAAGCAUGGAUAUUAUCUAUUGUGCUUUGAUGACCCUAGUCCCUAAAUGCAAUUUUGUAACUACAAUAUAAAGUGAUUUUGCAAAUGCAAAAGGAAGCGCUUCCUUGUAUUUGAUUGAUGAUAGCCUAUUGACGAGGGUUUCAUAGGAAUUCUCUAAGGAAGAAACGAAUCAAUUGAAGCAAAGUACAAAGAAACCAAUUCUUUGGAGUCAACUAUUUCUUAUAACAUCUAUUUGGUAUAUGGCAUUAUGCAGACAACUUAUGCCAUAUAAGGAUGCUUGUAUUGCAAUCAAUGGAGGAAACCGUAAUGAGGUUGUAUCUGCUAGUUUAUUUUAUUGCAGACCUAUUGUGAAAUAUGAUGAAAUUUGGUGGGUGCUGCUGCUGGUAUAAGAAUCAGAUAGCUUUAUAUGAUGAAAUUUGUAUCUGUUGAUAGUUAUCAAUGUAAGUCUUGGAUUUAGUAACUGAAAAAGGUAGAACCUUACCCAUUUUUAUCACUACGAUAUGCUGCUGUUGCUAAUGACAGCAGUUAACAGCUGUCAAAAAUGUUUGCUGCUGCUGUUGCUUCAUAGAUGAAGUGUUUACGUGUCAGUAGUGUCACUUUCUCAAAUUAUGAUUGGUGUUGACGUGUCAGUAGUGUCGGUGUGUCGUGCUUCAUAGACGAAGUGUUUACGUGCUUGUUCAUCGGUUUUGCGCAGUUUAUUUCAUUCUAUUUUGAUGUGAUUUUCUGUUUUUGAAAUUGUGGUUUCAAAUUGAUGGAGAAGCUGUAUGGUGAAAGUUUACGGAAUUGUGUAUUUAUGACAGGUUCUUGAGAUUUUGAGUCACGUGAACAAGAGAAUGAAGCUUCAGUCUGAUGUUGGUUUGCCUUUGAGUGAGUUGUGGAAAUUUUAUUUGGAAUCUGGUGCUGCUCCGAUGAUAAGGAAUAUUUUUGCAUUGUCUAUAUAGAGAUGGCUUUUCAACGUGUUAAUGCAAAGGUAAAGGAAGAUUUGGCACCUGAUAUCUUGAUGAACAUCUCAAAACUUCCUCUUCAACACCAGGAAACUUCUUAAAACUUUCUGAAUAUUUUUGUUGUUAUAUAUAUAACUAAAUGUUCCAUACGACUUCCUUUGAUACUGAAUACUUAUUAUUUUGAGUUUUUGUAAGUCGGACACCGAGGACAAAGUCUGGUAUUGACUUUGGCCAUUUCAUUCCUCCAUUUGGUCAAUGGUUUUAUCAUUUCAUUUAUUUAUCUAUAUUUCUAUAUAUUAUGUUUCGUCAUAAACUACGAAUGAUUUACAUGCUCCUUCUCUUUGAUGCACAACAUAUUUUUGACUGUUGUUAACUGUUGUCAUUAGCAACAGCAGCCUAUCGUAAGAUACAAUACAAUAAGCAGGUGUUCAUACAAGUUAUCUGAUAUAUAUGUCUGCUUUGAUGCCCAAAAAAUGCUGGAUAAUUUACUUAAUGACCCUAGUCCCUGAAUGUGAAAGCUGGUUGUUGCCUUAAUUGCUAAGCAAUUGGUGUCUGAUUUCUAUUAAAAAAAAUUAUGAAUUUUUAUUCAUAAUAACGCAUGAAUGGAUAUAUAUUCUGCUUUGAGGACCCUUAGUCCCUAAAUUCAAUUAGAAAUGAUUUUGCAUUAUGAACUUAAUGACUCGUGUCCCUAAUGUUAAGUUUUGUAACGGAUGGAUGCUUCAAUGAGGAAAAUGCGUUAUGAAUUCUUUAUUCAUAAUAGAAAAGUUGGAUGGUGGCUUUUCAAAGCAAAUCAACUUUAAUAUGAAAUUUUAUUCAAAAUGGGGAUGGUGUCUAUUAUCUUUUUAUGAUCCUAAUUGUGAAACUGUCACUAGUGGUAUGUGGUAUACAUGAACUCACUCUCUCCAAAUUCGACAAUAAGAUGGAUAUACUUUGUUCCAUGACUUUUGUAAGGGAUUGUCUUGGUGGCCCAAAAAUGUUGGAUGAUGCCUUAACGUGAAACCUAGUUGUUGCCUUAAUUAAAUGCAAUUUUAAUAUAAAAUUCAUUCAUAAUAUAAGGGAUUGUCUUGGUGGCCCAAAAUUGUUGGAUAUUAUCUAUUGUGCUUUGGUGACGCUUAGUCCCUAAAUGCAAUUUUGCAACUACAAUAUGAAGUGAUUAUGCAAAUGCAAAAGGAAGUGCUUCCUUGUGUUGGAUUGAUUAGCCUAUUGAUACAUGUUGUUAUACCCAUUUUUUAUUUAGUCAAGAACAUGCGAUCUUUUGCUUGAAAUUCAAUCAUCUGCUUGAGAAAAAAGAAAGAACCUUGUUAAUUGAGCAAAAAGUAUUUUGUCCCAAGAUCCUGUUUGAUCCCACUAUUUUGAAAGAUUAACUUUUUCCUUUGCUAUACUGUAAUUUUGGAACUUCCAUUCUAAUAUAUUUGCAUUGAUUCUUGUUGGGAUACACAUUUUUUCAAUUUUGACUAGUCAAGAAUAUUCAAUCUUCUGCUUGAAAACAAGAAACCUUGAUUGAGGAAACAUGUUAUGUCCUAAGAAUCUUCAAUCUUCUGCUGCUUAUUGGAAAUUUCAUUCCAACAUAUUUGCCCCAUUUGGUUUAUAAUUGAUACAUGUCGGGAACAAUGAUGGGCUGCCGAUUUUAUCAUUCUUGAUUAUUCAAAAACCUUUAAUCUUUACAUAUAUAAAUGGAAGGGAUCUGUUCUUUUAUAUUGUUUGGCUCGAAAGCUAGGGAUGGACUGAUGUAUUAGGCUAGUAAUAGAUAGAUGUCAUGUAUUGGAAAAUUUCUCUUGUCAAAAUAUGUAUUUUUCUCUAUACUUGCAGCUUUGCGUCGUAGUAGGCGGAAAGUUCGAUCUGUAAUCACUACUGAGUUGCUUUUCCAAAAGCUUUGCGUCGCAGUAGGCGGAAAGUUCGAUCUGUAAUCACUACUGAGUUGCUUUUCCAAAUGUCAUAGGAGUUUGGAGAUAACCAAAAUUACGAUCCUUGUGGUAUGAAAUUUCCUGCAGGACUUUCAACUAGCAAAAUAGCAGAAUUGCAUUAGGCAAGAUGGACUGCUUUGAUUGAUCAUAUGGAUGAAGCACUUUCAGAAGAAGAAAAACAACUUGAAAGUUGGCUGAAUCAAAUAAAACAAAAGCAACUGCUCUGUGAUCAGGGCCUACAACAUGUAAAUUGGAGCAAGGCUUAUGGUUUACAACAGUUGGGGACUUCAGAAAAUCAUUCCAGGUUCAGCGGUGAUUUGGAAACCGAAAUCUCAUGGAAUUGUUUGUGGAGGACUGUAACUAAAGUUGAAAGCAUGUUGGUGGAUAAAAGGAACGUUGAUGGUUCAAGUGUUGGUGUUGAUGUGGCUUCAUACACGAAUCAGAGCAACUUUCUAUUCCAAAUUUGAAAAUGAAAAGUCAGAUCAAGAGGUAUAUGAUUCCUGACUCAGUUUUUUAUGUUUUGAUUUCAUGAGUGGAGGUUAUAUUGUUGAAUUUUGUCAUGUAUCAAUUUUCAUAGUUUAUAUAUAUUUUUCUUCGUAAUAAUUGUUUGAGUCUUAGCCUUAUGGGAUAUUAGACAAUCAAACACAAUUUUUUCAAGAAUAUUCAAAAGAAACUGAUAUGCUAUCUAUGUGCCGAGACCCCGAGGUUGAAAGAUAAACAUUGUUUGCUAUGGUAAUUUUUUAUUCUCAUUUCACAUAUUUGCAUUGAUGCAUGUUCAAAUACUCAUUUUCUCAUUCUUGAUUAUUCAACAACGUUCAAUCUACUGCUUGAUAAAGACAAAAUAACGUAAUUAUGGGAUUUUCAUUCCAUUAUAUCGGUUUACGAUUUAUACCUGUUGUGAUGCCAAUUUUUAAUUCUUGAUAAUUCAAGAACAUUCAAUCUUCUGCUUUGCGUCAACAAAAAAUCUUCUGUUUGAAAACAAGAAACCUUAAUUGAGAAAACGUGUUCCGUCCCACGAAUCUUCAAUCUUCUGCUUGUUGGAAAUUUCAUUACAACAUAUUUGCCCCAUCUGGUUUAUAAUUGAUACAUGUUGGGAACGAUGAUGUGCUGCCGAUUUUAACAUUCUUGAUUAUUCAAAAACCUUUGAUCUUUUGCUUCGGUAAAAAGUGAACUUUCAAAUUUUGUAAGGGAUUGGAUGUCUUGAUGCCGAAAGAAUGCUGGAUAAAUUACUUAUAUGAUCCGAGUCACUGAAUGUGAAAGCUAAUUGUUGCCUUAAUUACGACUCAAGCAAUUGUCUCUAUCGAUGUACUCUUUUCUGUCAAAAAUAAUUU
This is an RNA transcript of Trifolium pratense (red clover), 8135 nucleotides long. RefSeq lists it as uncharacterized. The record is from RefSeq and is a predicted model, not a curated record. Lineage: Eukaryota; Viridiplantae; Streptophyta; Magnoliopsida; Fabales; Fabaceae. The transcript has 4 exons.